GAGUGACGCCCAGCUUUUUUUUGGCUUUAUCCAUUGGGACUCCUCACUUUAGGCUACUGCCUGGAGCGGACAGUGAUUUACCGGCGCAGCAACCGUCCGCACGGACCCGUUAGGAGCAGCCUUUCAGAGGCUCGAGGCUGGUCUCUAUCCGUGACGUCAGUAAGCACGAGCUAAGCAACCCAAGAACCAGAACCGAACAGAGAUGCUCUUAGCUGAGCCACCAUCUACCUGCCUUUCCUCUACAGUGUACUAUAUGGUUUGUGAAGCUGGAUUUGAGAGGAAAUCAAACUAUGCUCUCAGUAGUAUUAUAUGCAGCACCGGUGAAAUAAAUUGGGAAUUCAUCACAGAACAUGUACAAUAUGGAGAGCAAGACCCAACAUUGGAUUAUAUCAAAAGUGUGAGAUGUCUUGGUCCUUUAUGUGAAUCUAUUCACUUGCAUUUGAAAUCACUUACAGCGGAGCAAUUUGAAAACCAGUUUGUGGUGUGGCUUCAAUGGACAAACUGCCCA
This is a long non-coding RNA of Protobothrops mucrosquamatus (brown spotted pit viper), 508 nucleotides long. RefSeq lists it as uncharacterized. NCBI's taxonomy places the organism in Eukaryota, Metazoa, Chordata, Lepidosauria, Squamata, Viperidae. The transcript is spliced from 3 exons. The record is from RefSeq and is a predicted model, not a curated record.